GUCCUCAUGAGUUGAGUAUGAGGUCUGGCCUGCCCACUGAAUGUUUUGAAGGGCCGCGGUAUAUUAACCGUGCGAAGGUAGCAUAGUCAAUAGUCUCUUAAUUCGAGGCUUGAAUGAAUGGUUGGACAUAAGGGAGACUGUCUAUGAUCAGUAAGGGUGAAUUUAACUUUUGUGUGAAAAGGCAUUAAUGUGUUAAAGGGACGAUAAGACCCUAUAAAACUUGAUAAUUUGGUAUUAGAUUUUGUGAUAUGUGGUUAAGUUGAGAUUUAGUGAUUUUAUUUUGCUGGGGCGGCAGGAAUAAAAUUUGUAACUGUUCUUUAUAUGAAAUAUUUAUACAUAGAGGUUGAUCCUUAAUUUUGGUUUAAAAGAUAAAGUUACUUUAGGGAUAACAGCGUUAUUUCUCUUGAGAGUUCCUAUCGACAGGGAUAUUUGCGACCUCGAUGUUGAAUUAAAAUUUUUUCCGGGAGUAGGUGUUCGGAUAAUAGGUCUGUUCGACCUUUGAAAUUUUACAUGAUUUGAGUUCAAACCGGUGUGAG
This 536-nucleotide ribosomal RNA is filed under the name Alpheus floridanus. Its description in RNAcentral is "partial 16S ribosomal RNA". It matches the Rfam family "Bacterial large subunit ribosomal RNA", at positions 1819 to 2625 of the family's 2925-position model. The record is from RNAcentral. Lineage: Eukaryota; Metazoa; Arthropoda; Malacostraca; Decapoda; Alpheidae.